This is a non-coding RNA of Otolemur garnettii (small-eared galago), 302 nucleotides long. Lineage: Eukaryota; Metazoa; Chordata; Mammalia; Primates; Galagidae. The record is from Rfam.
GCUGGGCACAGUGUUGCGUCCCUGUAGUCCCAGCUAUUUGGGAGGCUGAGACAGGAGGAUCGCUUAAGUCCAGGAGUUAUGGGCUGUAGUGUGCUAUGCCAAUCAGGUAUGUCUGCACUAAGUUCAUCAUCAAUAUGGUGACCUCCCUGGAGCGGGAGACCACCAGGUUGCCUAAGGAGGGAUGAACUGACCCAGGUUGGAAACGGAGCAGGUCCAAGCUCCGGUGCUGAUCAGUAGUGGGAUCGCACCUGUGAAUAGCCACUGCACUGCAGCCUGGGCAACAUAGUAAGACCCUAUCUCUU